GCCGGUAAUAAACCGGAGGAAGGUGGGGAUGACGUCAAAUCAUCAUGCCCCUUAUGACCUGGGCUACACACGUGCUACAAUGGUUGGUACAACGAGUUGCGAGUCGGUGACGGCGAGCUAAUCUCUUAAAGCCAAUCUCAGUUCGGAUUGUAGGCUGCAACUCGCCUACAUGAAGUCGGAAUCGCUAGUAAUCGCGGAUCAGCACGCCCGCGGUCCGAAUGUUCCGGCCUU
This 231-nucleotide ribosomal RNA is filed under the name uncultured Streptococcus sp. RNAcentral's name for it is "partial 16S ribosomal RNA". It matches the Rfam family "Bacterial small subunit ribosomal RNA", at positions 1151 to 1374 of the family's 1533-position model. The record is from RNAcentral. Lineage: Bacteria; Bacillati; Bacillota; Bacilli; Lactobacillales; Streptococcaceae.